Molecule: ribosomal RNA, 253 nt
Filed under: uncultured bacterium
Lineage: Bacteria
Description: partial 16S ribosomal RNA
Rfam family: Bacterial small subunit ribosomal RNA
Source: RNAcentral
UACGGAGGUGGCAAGCGUUGUUGGGACUUACUGGGCGUAAAGGGCGCGUAGGCGGACCUUGAAGUCAGGGGUGAAAGGCCUGGGCUCAACCUGGGAACUGCCUUUGAAACUGGAGGUCUUGAGUCCGGGAGAGGAUGGCGGAAUUCCCAGUGUAGAGGUGAAAUUCGUAGAUAUUGGGAAGAACCCCGGUGGCGAAGGCGGCCAUCUGGUCCGGCACUUACGCUGAGGCGCGAAAGCGUGGGGAGCAAACAGG